RNAcentral lists this long non-coding RNA (363 nucleotides) under Capra hircus (goat). RNAcentral describes it as "lncRNA (ENSCHIG00000005903.1)". Lineage: Eukaryota; Metazoa; Chordata; Mammalia; Artiodactyla; Bovidae. The record is from RNAcentral.
CUUUGUAAUGAAAGAGAGACUCUUUACAGGCAACCAUCCUGAUUUCAAAGGCUUUGAAAUACAGGCCAGAAUUGUGUGCCUUGGAUAUUUGACUGUCGCUGAUAAGAUGGAUAACAGAAAAAGGACUUGCUCGCUGCCUGGUGAUUUGGCAUCCAUGAAAUCUACCAUUGAAUGUCAAGCCCUGCUUUCAAAAUGCCUGUGAUUCAAGUCCCAGUGAAUGACCUGCUAUAACAACCCACACUCCCUGGGCAGUAGAUCUGAAUUCUGAAUUCUGGCUGUGGUAGAAACAAAAGAGGAGAAAACCUCAGACUGAUCAAGGAGGAAGUAAGAAAAAUCCAUCCACCAUUAACACUGGUAUUUACA